This 492-nucleotide ribosomal RNA is filed under the name uncultured bacterium. RNAcentral describes it as "partial 16S ribosomal RNA". It matches the Rfam family "Bacterial small subunit ribosomal RNA", at positions 29 to 507 of the family's 1533-position model. The record is from RNAcentral.
AGUGAACGCUGGCGGUAGGCCUAACACAUGCAAGUCGAACGGCAGCACAGUAAGAGCUUGCUCUUACGGGUGGCGAGUGGCGGACGGGUGAGGAAUACAUCGGAAUCUACUUUUUCGUGGGGGAUAACGUAGGGAAACUUACGCUAAUACCGCAUACGACCUACGGGUGGAAGCAGUGGAUCUUCGGACCUUGCGCGAUUGAAUGAGCCGAUGUCGGAUUAGCUAGUUGGCGGGGUAAAGGCCCACCAAGGCGACGAUCCGUAGCUGGUCUGAGAGGAUGAUCAGCCACACUGGAACUGAGACACGGUCCAGACUCCUACGGGAGGCAGCAGUGGGGAAUAUUGGACAAUGGGCGCAAGCCUGAUCCAGCCAUACCGCGUGGGUGAAGAAGGCCUUCGGGUUGUAAAGCCCUUUUGUUGGGAAAGAAAAGCAGCAGGUUAAUACCCCGCUGUUCUGACGGUACCCAAAGAAUAAGCACCGGCUAACUUCGUG